UGUUGAUAUUAUCUAGUGAAAUUGUUAAGUGAAGAUUAUUAUAUGGUUGAUUGUGUUUUGCUGGGGCGGCAGGAAUAUAAUGGUUAACUGUUUUAAAAAUUAAAUAUUUAUUAAUAGAAGAUGGUCCUUUAUUUAAGAGGUAAGAGUAAGUUACUUUAGGGAUAACAGCAUAAUUUCUUUUGAGAGUUCAUAUCGAAGAUGAUAGUUGUGACCUCGAUGUUGAAUUAAAUUUUCUUUUAGGUGUAGAAGUUUAAAGGGAGGGCCUGUUCGGCCUAUAAGUAUUUACAUGAUUUGAGUUCAGACCGGU
RNAcentral lists this ribosomal RNA (307 nucleotides) under Synalpheus mcclendoni. RNAcentral's name for it is "partial large subunit ribosomal RNA". The stretch from base 161 to 307 matches the Rfam family "Bacterial large subunit ribosomal RNA", at positions 2473 to 2620 of the family's 2925-position model. Lineage: Eukaryota; Metazoa; Arthropoda; Malacostraca; Decapoda; Alpheidae. The record is from RNAcentral.